CCUGUCUCAAAAUUUAAAAAAAGGUGGAGGGUAUAGCUUAGUGCAGAGGCCCUGGGUUCAACCCCGAGGACCAGAAACAAACAAGCUCCUUCCUUUGGAGCUCCUCCUCAUCCCCCAGUUGGGCUGUUAUCAGUGACAUCCAGCUCUGUCUGUCCCCCCCCUAAGAAGUGACAUUCCACCUCUUAAAAACAACACACAGCUAUCGCAGGCCAUGUGCAGUGAUGUUGCCAUCGACUGGACCUGGUACCAGGGGCUCCCAGGGCAGGCCUGUCCUCACCUCUGACUGUAGGGCCAUCCUAGAAAGUGACAUCAAGGUCUCUGGGGGCGGGGCCUUCAGGUGCCACAUGGAAAUGCUGUCAGGUGUGCUGAGGCCCCAGGAGGACCUAGGAACCAGGAGCAGCUGUCAGUGUUAGUGGGAAGAUUACUUGGAUACAGCCCGCAGGAGUCUGGAGGCAGACGCUGGUCAUGACGACCCUCUGCCAGUGCCUGGGCAGACAGUGUGUCCAAGAGCUGCUUAGACAGUCCUGUGAGGUGGGCUCCGAGUGACCUCGACUUAUAAAGAAGGGAACCGAGGAGCAGACAAGCUGGGUCAUUUGCUGUGGGAGAUGUGAAGAAAAUCACAAUGACUCUUACGGCAGGACAGAGGCACCGUCUCCUCCUUGUAACAGCUUCAAGUGGCAUCCUGAGUAACAAGGGCUCGUCCACCAUGUGCGAUUGGUGAACAAGUAGGAGCUGAUUAACAAGUAGAUGGAACAUGGAUGCAGGUUUCUAGAGAUGUGCUGUAGGACUCCGUCAUCAGCCUCUUCCUGCUCAAUGUGCCUGCGGAUGACUCAGCCGGGGAC
This 842-nucleotide long non-coding RNA is filed under the name Heterocephalus glaber (naked mole-rat). Its description in RNAcentral is "lncRNA (ENSHGLG00100037431.1)". Lineage: Eukaryota; Metazoa; Chordata; Mammalia; Rodentia; Bathyergidae. The record is from RNAcentral.